UUUCCGAGUUGCUUUACAAGGACAUCCACAGCAACAGUGAUUCAUCCUGGAGCACUGGUGAACUUUCUGAGUCAGAAGCCUUAGUGAAAAGAACAGGAAGAUCUUAAAAACUACUCUUAAAUCAAUAAAAAGGCUUUUUGCUACACAGG
Unclassified non-coding RNA from Dipodomys ordii (Ord's kangaroo rat), 149 nucleotides. The record is from Ensembl. Lineage: Eukaryota; Metazoa; Chordata; Mammalia; Rodentia; Heteromyidae.